Long non-coding RNA from Orcinus orca (killer whale), 1912 nucleotides. RefSeq lists it as uncharacterized. NCBI's taxonomy places the organism in Eukaryota, Metazoa, Chordata, Mammalia, Artiodactyla, Delphinidae. The record is from RefSeq and is a predicted model, not a curated record. The transcript is spliced from 2 exons.
UAAAUAAAUUAAUUAAUAAACUCCUACCCCCAACAUCUUCAAAAAAAAAAUCUAUCAUGUCAAUAGUCUUACAAUCAAAAUCUAUGGCAUCUCAGACCCAGAUAACUGCUUCUACUUGUUCUUCUGGCCUGCAUUCCCUUGCUUUUCUAAUCUGUCCUGCACACUAUUGCCUGAUUAAUCUCCUUAAAAGACUGCAUUCAUUGUGUCCAGUGGUUAAGACUCCACGCUUCCGCUGCAGGGGCACGGGUUCAUCCCUGGUGGAGAACUAAGAUCCCGCAUGACGUGCGACGCAGCAAAAACAAAAACAAGAACAAACAACUUCAGUGGUUCCCAUUCCCUGAUAGGUAAAGUAUGCAAGUAUGCCUAGGGGAUCAAGCUGGGCAUCGAAGGGACACCACAAUCACACCCUGAUGUCCUCCUGUCCUUACCAACAUUAUUCCCCUACCCAGAUCUUUCUGCCGUGAACACAUCCUCCUCUGCCUCUGUUUGUGUCAUUCCCCACAAUUAGAAGGCUAUUCCUCCUGCUACGUACACCCUACUCAGGCUUCAAGUCCUAUGUCUGUUGUGAAACGUUAUCUGAACACCCCAUCCCGAUGUAAUCUCUUCCUCCUCUAAAUUCCUGUAGGACUUGUCUUGACUACUUAUUUCACACUUAUUAUUAAUUAUCUGGUAUCUUUGAAUGUCUGUAUAUGUUUAUGAGUGUAAAGCAAUGAAUCCGAUGUUUUAUAAUGAAUGGGAAAAAAUCAAUCACAGUAGUUCACAUUCUAUAUGUCUUAUUUCUCUCAUCAGAUCAUAAAUUCCUUGCAGUUAGCUCUAUUAGGUAUACUUGUCUCCCUUGAAUUGUGGUUUAUUUAAGAAAUAUAGGGCUUCCCUGGUGGCACAGUGGUGAGAGUCCGCCUGCCGAUGUAGGGGACACGGGUUCGUGCCCCAGUCCGGGAGGAUCCCACAUGCCGCGGAGCGGCUGGGCCCGUGAGCCAUGGCCGCUGAGCCUGUGCGUCCGGAGCCUGUGCACCGCAACGGGAGAGGCCACGACAGUGAGAGGCCCGAGUACCACAAAAAAAAAAAAAAAAAAGAAAUAUAGUCUACUAAGCACUGAGUUCAAUGGGGGGAUCACACCUCUCAUCAGAGAGGCACCGCUACCCCUAUUCUUUUCUCUAUGGCUGGUCCAAAUCACUUAUAUUCAACUUCUCCCGUCUGCCCUCCUCCAGCACCCAAGCUUAUGAUCGUAGUAGCACAAGACUUGCUCAGGCUUUAGAGUGAAUCAAGCGUCAAGGAGCGGGUGGGUUGAAGAACAAGGAGAAACUUCGCGGUGUUCUAAGACAGAUGUGUGGAGGCAGAAGGUCACUGCGAUGCAGCGAAGACUGAAAACUGCUUGAUGACAAGAGACCACGCCUGUCUUGUUCUUACUGUGUUCACAGCACCUAGCCAGUGCCUAGAGGAUAGUAAGUACUCAAUAAACUCAUUCUAGAAUGGUUGGAUGAAUGAAUAAAUGACCUACAAUAGCAUAAUGAUAGUAUAAAAUGUUUUAUAGGCGUUAAAAUUUUAUUUUGGGGCUUCCCACCACUGGUGGUGCAGUGGUUAAGAAUCCUCCUGCCAAUGCAGGCGACACGGGUUCGAGCCCUGGUCCGGGAAAAUCCCACAUGCCACGGAGCAACUAAGACCGUGAACCACAACUACUGAGCCUGUGCUCUAGAGCCUGUGAGCCACAACUACGGAGACCACGUGCCCCAACUACUGAAGCCCACGCACCUAGAGCCAGUGCUCUGCAACAAGACAAGCCACCAUAAUGAGAAGCCCACGCGCCACAACGAAGAGUAGCCCCCGCUCGCCACAGCUAGAGAAAGCCCGCGUGCAGCAACGAAGACCCAAGGCAGCCAAAAAUUUAAAAAAUUAAUAAUUUUUAAAAAAAGAA